GUCUGGUCAAAGGGCAUUCCUUCUUGCUGAGGGCUUUGCAGCAAAAGGGUGGAACCAAGCUGGGGAAGAGACAGAGAUGUUGAGAAGCUGUGCCAAGUCCAUGGUGAAUCUUUCCCUCUUGUAUUGUUCAGGGAUUCAAAUCAUCACUGAAGGUAAAAGCCCUCACAGACAUGAGGACACCAAAGUCCUUCAGAGCAUGGCCAUAGGGAGUUUAAUCAGAUGAACACUUUGCUGAGGACUCACAGGAAUACCUCAUUCUGACAAUACUCAGUGUUUGUCAUUCACCAGAUAACACCAAGCUAAACACCUUCACCCAAAAGAUCCUGCAUGUAUCACAUCCCAGUGUACCCUGGGAUGGAAAAUAGCAGUGCAAAUACACCCAGUUCUUAGCAAAGAGGUUUCAAAAGAUGGGAUGAUCCAACCAAACAGCUUGCUGUCAAGAAAAAAGGGCAGUCCCACUCAUCCCCUUCUCUUUCCUCAGGCACUGCUCUUAUCUCCUGUAAAACAGGCUAAGCACAGUGAAAUGGCCAAAUGAAUCAUCUUCUGGAGGCCUAGUGGCUUCAUGGGAGGAAUUUCACCCUCAUCCCUUUGGAAGGAAGGAUCAAGCCUGUAGGGCCACUCUGAAGUAAUUUAUCUGUGGAAGGAAGAAUCGAAACUUACAUGAUCCUCAGCUUGGCUGGAGGGACAGGUUUUCGUGCAAGAUUUUCAUGAAAUUGGAAGCAGUCUAAAAUUUUCAUUUGACAGUGUUUGGCUGUUUAAUUGAUUUUUUGAGAGUUACCUAGGGCUCUAACUAAAAGAGAGAGAAAUGAAUGAAGAGGAUCUUAUCUGCUUGUCUGUCCAUGAGUUGUCUGAUGAAAAGAUGAGAGGUGUGACCCAAGUGCAUUUUUGGGUGACGUGUUAAAGCAAAGUUCUGACCACCUUGCUCAUUAAAAAUCCCACUGCAGUAAUUAUGUUUGUAGUGUGUGUUAACUCUGAUGGCCUCAACUUGUAAAGCAAGGGGGUAUUUCAUAAGAUGAAAGGUAGUAUAAAAAUGUAAA
RNAcentral lists this long non-coding RNA (1037 nucleotides) under Cyanistes caeruleus (blue tit). RNAcentral's name for it is "lncRNA (ENSCCEG00000019418.1)". The record is from RNAcentral. Lineage: Eukaryota; Metazoa; Chordata; Aves; Passeriformes; Paridae.